CUGUACACUUAAAACAGAUGGCUUCAUAGUUCCCUUGGCUUUGAUCUGUGCUGGGGCGAUGUGUAUUUCCUUCUCUCUGCAUUGAAAAAACUAUGUAGCCUUUUAAAUGCAUUAGAAAGUCAGCAUAUAA
Molecule: small nucleolar RNA, 130 nt
Organism: Mustela putorius furo (domestic ferret)
Lineage: Eukaryota; Metazoa; Chordata; Mammalia; Carnivora; Mustelidae
Source: Ensembl